AUUGAACGCCGGCGGCAGGCCUAACACAUGCAAGUCGAGCGGAUGAAGGGAGCUUGCUCCUGGAUUCAGCGGCGGACGGGUGAGUAAUGCCUAGGAAUCUGCCUGGUAGUGGGGGAUAACGUCCGGAAACGGGCGCCAAUACCGCAUACGUCCUGAGGGAGAAAGUGGGGGAUCUUCGGACCUCACGCUAUCAGAUGAGCCUAGGUCGGAUUAGCUAGUUGGUGGGGUAAAGGCCUACCAAGGCGACGAUCCGUAACUGGUCUGAGAGGAUGAUCAGUCACACUGGAACUGAGACACGGUCCAGACUCCUACGGGAGGCAGCAGUGGGGAAUAUUGGACAAUGGGCGAAAGCCUGAUCCAGCCAUGCCGCGUGUGUGAAGAAGGUCUUCGGAUUGUAAAGCACUUUAAGUUGGGAGGAAGGGCAGUAAGUUAAUACCUUGCUGUUUUGACGUUACCAACAGAAUAAGCACCGGCUAACUUCGUG
This 484-nucleotide ribosomal RNA is filed under the name uncultured bacterium. RNAcentral describes it as "partial 16S ribosomal RNA". It matches the Rfam family "Bacterial small subunit ribosomal RNA", at positions 30 to 507 of the family's 1533-position model. The record is from RNAcentral.